RNAcentral lists this ribosomal RNA (274 nucleotides) under uncultured bacterium. RNAcentral's name for it is "partial 16S ribosomal RNA". It matches the Rfam family "Bacterial small subunit ribosomal RNA", at positions 523 to 796 of the family's 1533-position model. The record is from RNAcentral.
AUACGGAGGGUGCAAGCGUUAAUCGGAAUUACUGGGCGUAAAGGGUACGUAGGCGGUUAUUUAAGUUGGAUGUGAAAUCCCUGGGCUCAACCUAGGAACUGCAUCCAAAACUGAAUAACUAGAGUGUAUAAGAGGUUAUCGGAAUUCCAGGUGUAGCAGUGAAAUGCGUAGAUAUCUGGAGGAACAUCAGUGGCGAAGGCGGCUAACUGGUAUAACACUGACGCUGAGGUACGAAAGCGUGGGGAGCGAACGGGAUUAGAAACCCCAGUAGUCC